RNAcentral lists this ribosomal RNA (494 nucleotides) under uncultured bacterium. Its description in RNAcentral is "partial 16S ribosomal RNA". It matches the Rfam family "Bacterial small subunit ribosomal RNA", at positions 28 to 507 of the family's 1533-position model. The record is from RNAcentral.
GACGAACGCUGGCGGCGUGCUUGACACAUGCAAGUCGAACGGAAAGGCCUGCUUUCCCUUGUGGAUUGCGGGUACUCGAGUGGCGAACGGGUGAGUAACACGUGAGUGAUCUGCCCCCAACUUGGGUAUAAGCCUGGGAAACUGGGUCUAAUUCCCGAUAGGACUGCAGGGUGGUGCCUGUGGUGGAAAACGAUUUUCUAGUGGUUGGGGAUGAGCUCGCGGCCUAUCAGCUUGUUGGUGGGGUAAUGGCCUACCAAGGCGGCGACGGGUAGCCGGCCUGAGAGGGUGGACGGCCACAGUGGGACUGAGAUACGGCCCAGACUCCUACGGGAGGCAGCAGUGGGGAAUAAGGCACAAUGGGCGGAAGCCUGAUGCAGCGACGCCGCGUGGGGGAUGACGGCCUUCGGGUUGUAAACUCCUUUCGACCGCGAGGAAGCCACCUGGUUGGAAGGGUGGUGACGGUAGUGGUAGAAGAAGCACCGGCUAACUACGUG